Micropterus dolomieu (smallmouth bass) is the source of this 368-nucleotide long non-coding RNA. RefSeq lists it as uncharacterized. The transcript has 3 exons. Lineage: Eukaryota; Metazoa; Chordata; Actinopteri; Centrarchiformes; Centrarchidae. The record is from RefSeq and is a predicted model, not a curated record.
CUGUAAACCAGUCAUUGUCAACGACAAAGUUGCCAUCUUUAAGUUCAAAAAUUCAGAAUGUGGAGUUCAUGCUUAUGAAGUUGGUGAGACGAUGAUCUACCUGGCUGAAGUGCAGACUGUCGUCCAGUCUCUGACCCUCCAGUAUGGCGUAAUUGCAACACGUGAUCCGCUCAGGUUCAUGGUUGAGUGUCGCUAUAGCAAAGCAGGCGUUGCUCCGCAGUCACUAACCAGCGUUGGCUACAUGGUGAAGACCCCGAGUUCCACCUUGCCGUCAGCGGUCCUCUCUAAUGGCUUAUAUGCUGUUGACUUGAGAAUUGCUAAAGGUUGGGUAUUUAUGCCUUAUUUUCUAAAGCAAUUGCAAUAAGUAC